This 419-nucleotide ribosomal RNA is filed under the name uncultured bacterium. Its description in RNAcentral is "bacterial SSU rRNA". It matches the Rfam family "Bacterial small subunit ribosomal RNA", at positions 356 to 773 of the family's 1533-position model. The record is from RNAcentral.
AAGGAAUAUUGGUCAAUGGACGCAAGUCUGAACCAGCCAUGCCGCGUGAAGGAUGAAGGUCCUCUGGAUUGUAAACUUCUUUUAUCUGGGACGAAAACGGGAUUUUUAUCUCAAUUGACGGUACCAGAGGAAUAAGCACCGGCUAACUCCGUGCCAGCAGCCGCGGUAAUACGGAGGGUGCGAGCGUUAUCCGGAUUUACUGGGUUUAAAGGGUGCGUAGGUGGGCUUAUAAGUCAGUGGUGAAAUCUCCGAGCUUAACUUGGAAACUGCCGUUGAUACUAUAUGUCUUGAAUUAUCUGGAGGUAAGCGGAAUAUGUCAUGUAGCGGUGAAAUGCUUAGAUAUGACAUAGAACACCAAUUGCGAAGGCAGCUUACUACAUAUAAAUUGACGCUGAGGCACGAAAGCGUGGGGAUCAAAC